GGAAGGAUCAUUACCGAAUUGUCAACAAGAGUUGUUGCUGGUCCCUGUAUGGGGGCAUGUGCACGCUCUGUUUACACAUCCACUCACACCUGUGCACGCUCUGUAGUUCUAUGGCCUGGGUGGGCUCUGCCCUCCUGCUGUGGUUCUAUGUCUUUACACACACACUACAACAAAGUCUCAUGGAAUGUAUGUCGCGUUUAACGCAAUGAAAUACAACUUUCAGCAACGGAUCUCUUGGCUCUCGCAUCGAUGAAGAACGCAGCGAAAUGCGAUAAGUAAUGUGAAUUGCAGAAUUCAGUGAAUCAUCGAAUCUUUGAACGCACCUUGCGCCCUUUGGCUAUUCCGAAGGGCAUGCCUGUUUGAGUAUCAUGAACACCUCAACUCUCAUGGCUUGCCGUGAUGUGCUUGGACUUUGGGGGUCUUGUUGGCCUGUGAGCCAGCUCCUCUUAAAUGAAUUAGCUCGCCGGUGUUUGGUGGCGUCACGGGUGUGAUAACUAUCUACGCUUGUGGUUCCCCACCAGGGUAACCUUCAGCAAUGAAGGUUCACCGGAGCUUAUAAAUGUCUCUCCUCAGCGAGGACAGAUUUUGACCAUUUGAUCUCAAAUCAGGUAGGACUACCCGCUGAACUUAAGCAUAUCAA
This 640-nucleotide small RNA is filed under the name uncultured fungus. RNAcentral's name for it is "eukaryotic LSU rRNA". The stretch from base 215 to 369 matches the Rfam family "5.8S ribosomal RNA". The record is from RNAcentral. Lineage: Eukaryota; Fungi.